UACGUAGGUGGCAAGCGUUAUCCGGAUUUAUUGGGCGUAAAGAGAACGCAGGCGGUCUUUUAAGUCUGGUGUAAAAGGCAGUGGCCCAACCAUUGUAUGCAUUGGAAACUGGUAGACUUGAGUGCAGGAGAGGAGAGUGGAAUUCCAUGUGUAGCGGUGAAAUGCGUAGAUAUAUGGAGGAACACCGGUGGCGAAAGCGGCUCUCUGGCCUGUAACUGACACUGAGGCUCGAAAGCGUGGGGAGCAAACAGG
RNAcentral lists this ribosomal RNA (252 nucleotides) under uncultured bacterium. Its description in RNAcentral is "partial 16S ribosomal RNA". It matches the Rfam family "Bacterial small subunit ribosomal RNA", at positions 524 to 776 of the family's 1533-position model. The record is from RNAcentral.